Molecule: ribosomal RNA, 476 nt
Filed under: uncultured bacterium
Lineage: Bacteria
Description: bacterial SSU rRNA
Rfam family: Bacterial small subunit ribosomal RNA
Source: RNAcentral
AACGCCUGUCGGUUAAUACCCGGCAGGAAAGACAUCACUCGCAGAAGAAGCACCGGCUAACUCCGUGCCAGCAGCCGCGGUAAUACGGAGGGUGCAAGCGUUAAUCGGAAUUACUGGGCGUAAAGCGCGCGUAGGUGGCUUGAUAAGCCGGUUGUGAAAGCCCCGGGCUCAACCUGGGAACGGCAUCCGGAACUAUUAGGCUAGAGUGCAGGAGAGGAAGGUAGAAUUCCCGGUGUAGCGGUGAAAUGCGUAGAGAUCGGGAGGAAUACCAGUGGCGAAGGCGGCCUUCUGGACUGACACUGACACUGAGGUGCGAAAGCGUGGGUAGCAAACAGGAUUAGAUACCCUGGUAGUCCACGCCGUAAACGAUGUCGACCAGCCGUUGGGUGCCUAGCGCACUUUGUGGCGAAGUUAACGCGAUAAGUCGACCGCCUGGGGAGUACGGCCGCAAGGUUAAAACUCAAAUGAAUUGACGG